AGCCCUGAGUGACCGCAGCGCACGAGCGCGGGAAAAUGAGGCUGCGCGGGCUGAAGAGCGCACCGAGAGGAGCCGCCCCCGCGGUACCGCGCAGCCUCGCGUCCCGUCAGUGGGGAACAAGGUCUUGGAGUUAGGUCAACAGGAGAAGAGUCAAGUGAGGUCACAGAUGAGGUAAGAGAAACUUCUGAGGAUUUUCCUUGAGCCUCAGCAUCUGAAUCACUCCUUUGGCAAGAUCGAUAGUUGCUAACUGAUCCCGAUCUCUGUGGAGUAGCAGUCCCUGAUUUGGCUUCUGUAAUUUCAUCU
This 303-nucleotide long non-coding RNA is filed under the name Homo sapiens (human). RNAcentral describes it as "HSALNT0087023". The record is from RNAcentral. Lineage: Eukaryota; Metazoa; Chordata; Mammalia; Primates; Hominidae.